RNAcentral lists this ribosomal RNA (451 nucleotides) under uncultured bacterium. RNAcentral describes it as "partial 16S ribosomal RNA". It matches the Rfam family "Bacterial small subunit ribosomal RNA", at positions 354 to 796 of the family's 1533-position model. The record is from RNAcentral.
GUGGGGAAUAUUGGACAAUGGGGGGAACCCUGAUCCAGCCAUGCCGCGUGUGUGAAGAAGGCCUUUUGGUUGUAAAGCACUUUAAGCGAGGAGGAGGCUUACCUGGUUAAUACCUAGGAUAAGUGGACGUUACUCGCAGAAUAAGCACCGGCUAACUCUGUGCCAGCAGCCGCGGUAAUACAGAGGGUGCGAGCGUUAAUCGGAUUUACUGGGCGUAAAGCGCGCGUAGGUGGUUAAUUAAGUCAAAUGUGAAAUCCCCGAGCUUAACUUGGGAAUUGCAUUCGAUACUGGUUAGCUAGAGUAUGGGAGAGGAUGGUAGAAUUCCAGGUGUAGCGGUGAAAUGCGUAGAGAUCUGGAGGAAUACCGAUGGCGAAGGCAGCCAUCUGGCCUAAUACUGACACUGAGGUGCGAAAGCAUGGGGAGCAAACAGGAUUAGAUACCCUGGUAGUCC